AGAGAAUUGCUUGAACCCGGGAGGCAGAGGUUGCAGUGAGCCGAGAUCAUGCCAUUGCACUCCAGCCUGGGUGACAAGA
This 79-nucleotide small nuclear RNA is filed under the name Homo sapiens (human). Its description in RNAcentral is "partial ncRNA". Lineage: Eukaryota; Metazoa; Chordata; Mammalia; Primates; Hominidae. The record is from RNAcentral.